RNAcentral lists this long non-coding RNA (10058 nucleotides) under Citrus maxima (pomelo). RNAcentral's name for it is "long non-coding RNA (CMAX_LNC003695)". Lineage: Eukaryota; Viridiplantae; Streptophyta; Magnoliopsida; Sapindales; Rutaceae. The record is from RNAcentral.
UCGUACUUUUGGUUUAGGUUAAAAAUAUAUGAAAAAAAAACCACACUCCGUCACCUCACACACACGCCUCACCAUUCUCUCACCUCACCCCUCCUCUUCCUGUUCCACGGCCAUCAAUGGCGGUGUGAGUCGACAACAAUCAACUGCGGCGGCUGAUCUUCGUCUCCGGUAACGAUUAACGACGGCGCAAGCACAGCUGAUCUGUGCGCUAGCUCAAGCUUGGCCGAUCUGUUGCUUGCUCGAUUACUCUUCCUAUAUUCACUCAGAGUCAACUGUUUGACAAGAGUCGAAGUCCAAGGUUUUUUUUUUAAUUGAAGUUUUAAUUUAAUUUUUAUUUUUUAACUUGGUUUAGAACAAAAAUUCAUUCUUUAAUUUUGAUUUUCUGAGAAGUUAAUGAAUAUAUAAUGAAACUAUGUGUCUCAGAUUGAGGUCGGGCAUGUUUAUAUUUGCGUAAUCCGGAUACAGGAACCGUUUCAAAUAAAUUCAAGGUAACAUUCAAGUUUAUUUCAUCUUCUUCUCCCAUUUGUAGUUGAAAAUUAUCUCAAAAUCUUUUAUUUUCUGUGGGAUUAUGUUUAAUUUUGAGAGUUGGGUUUUGGUAAUGAGAUUGUUUAUGAUUAGGGUUGUCCCUCUUCCUAUUUUAGGCUUUUCAAUUUCGCCCAAGUGGUUGAAAGCUUUGCUUUAAUUUGUUUUCAUUGAUAGUUAAUAUCAAAAAUUCAAAAAAGAAAUUGAUAAUAAGGCUUAUCUAUUUUGUUUUUGCAUAUUUUGAUAACGUUUCUUGUCCCCAUUUGUGGUUCCACUUUUGGGGUUGAUUUGAUAAUUUUUCAUGGUUGAAGAAUGAUCUAUUGACCAUGUUCACAAAUUAGAUAUAUUAUUUUUCAUCAAACUAAAACAACAAUGGACAAUUCUAGGGUCUGUUGUGCUGCAGUUCUGCUAUCAAAAUAGCUCCUGGAAGUUUUCAAGAGCAGUUUUGCUGGUGUUCCACUAUGAAAACAACCCUGGAAAUUUGGAUGGGCUGUUUUGCUGCUGUUCUGUGAUGAAAACAGCCCCGAGAAAUUUGCAGGGGCCGUUUUGCUGCUGCUCUGCUAUGAAAACAGCCCCUGGAAAUUUGCAGAUGUUGGUUUGUUGCUGUUCUUGAGGGACUAAUGAUGUGUUUGGAUCUUUAUGCAACAGGUGCAAGUUUCUCCGUGUUUUAGUCGACACUAAAACCCCUGCUGACUUCAAGUGGCUCCCUUGAAUUGGCAAUUGGAUUUGCUCUGGUAAGUAUCUUUUUACUUUCUAUCUCUCACUCUGUUUCCAUAUUUCUUCAUAUUAUUAGUUCUAGAGCUUUUUUCCUUUUAAUAUUUUUUUAUUUUUUAUUUUCUAUUUCUGAAAUACUUGCUGGAUUGUAGUUUCUACUGAUUUUUUUUUUUUUUUUGUGAAAUAUUUUAGCUAUUUGUUGAUAGGUUUAGUUUAGGAGUUAUAUUGAAGAGUUUGGUGUUUAAUAUUAAGAACUAAGUAAUAGGUAAUGUUGAAAGAGAACACAUGCUUAGGUGAUACAUCAGUACAAAUUGUACCUUGAAAUCAGUUGAAAUUGUCUACUUGCUUCUAAAGUUUUUUUUUUCCCCCCGUAACUAGCUACACUUUUUUGUUUGGCAAAGCCCAAAAGAAAAUGAAAAGGAAAUCACGGACACAUGUAAUGUUUAUUUUGUAUAAUUUUUUUUCUUUGUUGUUUGAUUGUAAUAAUGAUUAAUGAUUUUUGAAAUCGGGUGGCUUGUUUGCAGGAAACCGAGUUAAGCUGCUGAAACAUUUUGAGAAAUAUAAUAAAUUUUAAUUUAUUAGACUUGCUCUAUGCUGGCUCUAUUUCUAAGCUUCUUCAUUUUGUUACCGUUCCUUCUCUGCAAAGUAUAGUUUUAAUUCUUGUACAGCAGCAUUAGCUUUUUCUCUGCUAAUAUCUAGUGUCUUUGUGCUUUCUUCACAAAUUAAGCUUUUGAACUAUAACAUUUCCUAUUAUGCAGCAUUAGAGCACUAGUUGGCAAGUGAUCGAUAGUGAUUUUGUUGAUGCCUUAAAGUUGGAAUGAUUAUGUUAUUAAAUUCUAAUUUGUACAUGAAUAGAACCUAGGCUAAUCAAAGAACGUUAGUUCUUGUCUGUUUUUUAUUUUACUAAAAUGUUGUUAUAUAUAUAGAUUGAUAAAUUGCUGUUCCUUUCACUUGCAUAUGAAUUUGUCCUUUCGUUAUGAUUUUCAAAGGUUUGUUAAGUUCAUUUACAUGUGGAUUUUAUGGUAGAUUUUGUUAAGAUAAUCAUGUGCAUUUCUCUUUUGGUAUUAAUUGUGGUAUGCUUGCUAUGUCUUAUUUAUUCGUGGCAGGUUGUGACCAUUUUGAAGAGUAACAGGUCACUCUACAUAUAAGUCUUCUGAAUUUAAAGUAUGGUAAGAAAAAGACAGUCUCCGAGCAUUUCUCUAUUUGAAUUUUCUUUUUAGUCGAGUGCUUCUAGCAAUUUUUAUAAUAAUGCCUUUCCAUUGAGUAAUUUCUGUCAUUGGCAAUGGUUUUACUGCUUAUGCUUCAUUAUUUUCUCCUGGAUACUUAAAGUUAUCUUGUUAUAUGUUUGGGAAAAGUAUAAAUUCAAAAGUUAUGAUAGAAUUCUUUUGCUAGUUUCAUUAUUGCAUAGAGUCCUAUAUAUAUUACACAACUAGGAAAUAUAACUGCGCUUCGCACGGCUUUGAAAGAAAAUUUAGUAUUUAUCCUUUUUUCAAACAUCUCUCCCAACUUUCCCCAUAAAGUAAUCUUUGUUGUCACCGAGCUAUCCAUAAAAAUUAACAAAAGUUAAUAAUGUAAAAAGAAAAACUCAUUAUAAAGAUAUCGUAUUAUCAUUAAAUUCGAAAGUCUCAAAUUACAUUACUAUAUAGUUGGUUACUUUUUUUUAUUCCAAAUCACCAAUAUUUUUAUUCCUUAUUUCAAUAUGAAUAUUACCACUUGACUUUUUUAUUUGUGUUUAUGAAGAGGUGGGUGUGAGGAAAAAAAAUGUUUUUCUUAAGAAUUAGAACAAAUAAUUAGGCAAUAAUUCAAGGAAUUGAGGUUGUUCAUUCUACAUUCUAAUUGGAUUUAGAGUGAUUUUCAUUAAUUUUUUCUUUUACAUUAAUUAUUUUAACAGCCAAGUACUGUUGUUUAUUCUACUGUGUCUGUGAGAAGAUGCUUAGUCUACCUAGAACAUAUUUUCUAAUUAAUUUUUCUUGUGAAUACGUUGAAUAAUCUCUAAGGGCUAUACCCUUUUUCAUUGUACUUUUAAUGGUUUUUCUUCAACCAAUAUUGGAUGUAUUCAUUGAAAAAGAAAAUUAAAAAUUAGGUAAUAACUAAUAAGAUUAGUGCAGUCAAACUGUUUGUCAAUUCUUAUGAUAAAACAAUAAUUAAAAAAAAAGUUAUAGUUUUCUUGAUUAUAUUUAACUUACUAAUCUGAUAGAACUUUUAUAUCUCUUUUCUUCCAGCCACAACUCCAACGAUUUCAAUAUCACCCACACCAUAUAAAUUUCCGACAACAUUUGUAAUAUCAUGGAAAAAUAAUAUAAACAUGUUAAAAUAUAAGGAUCAAUAAUUUUUAAUAUACACUUAAAGAUUAAUAAAUAUUAAUAAUUAAAAUAAAUAAAUGAGAGGAUUGUGUUGUCAUUCACAUGUAAAUCAAUAAAAUUCAGAGAUACAAAUUGGAAUUCAUUGUUCGAAAUUUGAUCAGUUUUUUCUUCUAAUUUCUUAAGCAAAGUUGUAAUUAAGAAAAUAAUCUUAUACUGAAUUGAAAGUGGUCUGUACUCGCCUAAUGUUAAAAUAAUUUUUUAAUUGUUGACACUAUACAAAGAAUUCUCAUUCAACAUGUGCCUAAAUUUUGUCACUAAAUUUUUUCUGAUUGUUGUAUGCAUUAGAUUUUCCUAUAAAAAAAAUGCUACAUUAUGUGUAAAACUAUUGGCAAAAAAAAAAAAGAUAAUUAGAGAAAACAAUGGGAGAAGGAAUUUUUUAUACAUAUUUUUCAUUAAUAAAAAUUAUGUCUAUACUAAUUAAUUCUCUAUUCUUCUUGGGAUUAACAGACUUUCACAUCCUACAAAACUUAACCCUUAUGAUUCAAAUAAGUCAAACAAUCAAAACACAAGAAUCCUUCUAAAGAGUGUUAGCUUAUAUGACUGUAAAAUAUUGAUUUUGAUGAUAACAAAUUAUAUAUUUUGGAUAAAUAAAGAAUUAUACAUUAUGUUUUUAUAACAAGAAAAUAAUUUUAUAAAAUUAGUUAUUUUUCAAGUUGCGGACUAAAAUGAAAUUUUUUUAUCAUUUUUUAUUUUAACAAAUAUUGUUUUGAAUUUUAAAUUUGGACCUAUUUAUAAAUAUUUGAAACAAGUUGGGUCAUAUUAUAAUUUUUAUAAAUUCGGGUUUUAUCAUAAUUUUAGCAAGUUUUGGGAAUGACAAGCAUUAUUUAGAAAUUUAGAAAUUAGAUCUUUUUAUAAAGGUUUAUGACGUUUUAGGCUAUAAUAUAAUUUUAUAAAGGUUGGGUAAAAUUAUAAUUUUAGAAAAUGGUUGUUUCAUUGUAGCAAAGCGGCUAACCAGAUUCAGAAAGCAGCAAACUGGUUAUGGACAGAAACUCAAUUGAAUGAAAGUGGUUAAUCGGAUUUAGAAAGCAGUAAACUAGAUGUGCAAAAAUUUAAAUUUUUUAACAUAAUGGUAACAUAAAGUGGCAAGUUAGUUAUCACCAGAAAGCCAAUAACAGUUAGUUUUAUUCAAUUAUAAAUUGGCUCAAAUGAAAUUCAAUCUAUGUGAUGCAACUAUUGUUAUUAUUGAGCAUUUCUCUGCAAGUUUAAAGUAUAAACUUUGUGUAUUCAUUUCAUUUGGUAAGAGGAAAAUUUGUUAUUUAUGAGAAAUAUUCAUAUGCAUUUAUGCAUGAGGAGUCUUUUAAUAACAAACAAAUUUCCUCCUUUCAUUUGCUCUGAUACUAAAUGAAAUGUAAGUUACGCAAUCCAAGAGAGGGAGCGAAUUAUUAUUUUAAAACUUACGCUAAUCAAAUCAUAUAAUAAUUCAAUCUAAUGCCCUAAUAGAAUUGAAAAUAAUAAAUUUAAUAAAUCAUAAUAAUAAAAGAGUAAGAGAAGAGAAAACAAACAUAAGGAUUUUUACAUGGUUCGGCAAUUUCUGCAUACGUCCAUGCCUUCAAGCACACUGGACUUAAGGAUUUCAUUAUCCAAGCCUGACAAGGCUUCAAACGCUUACAAUUGGCUUUCAAGGUGUUAAUGGAUCUCUACAACAAGAAAUUAUCUUCAAUCUCUUAACAUAAGUGUAUCUUAACACUUACAAUCUCUCAAUUUGAUUUUACAAAAAAGAUUACAAAAAUUUCUCUCAUGCAAUGUGUUUGAAUACAAAUGAAAGCCCAAUAUGUGUGAAUAAAUGAAAUGAAUAUACAAAGUUUAUGCUUUAGACUUGCAGAGAAAUGUUCAAUAAUAACAAUGUUUGCAUCACUUUGAUUGAAUUUGAUUUAAGUUAAUUUAUAGUUGAAGAAGAAAAUUAGUCGUUAUUGACUUUUUGGUGAUAAUUGGCUUGCCGCUUUAUGUUACCAUUAUGUUAAAAAAUUUGAAUGUUUGCACAUUCAGUUUGCCGCUUUUUAAAUUCGGUUAGCCGUUUAGCUACAGUCAAACAAUUAUUUUCUAAAAUUAUAGUUUUACCCAAGCCUUUAUAAAAUUAUACUAUGGCUCAAAACGUCAUAAACCUUUGCAAUAAGGUCCAAUUUCAGAAUUUCUAAAUAAUACUUGUCGUUUUCAAAACUUACUGAAAUUAUGAUAAAGCUCGAAAUUAUAGUAUGGCCCAAAACAUUUCAAAUAUUUACAAAUAGAUCUAAAUUCAAAACAAUAUUUAUUAAAACCAAAGAUGAUAAAAAAUUUUCAUUUUUUAGUCCACAUUUUGAAAAAUAACUAAUUUCAUAAAAUCAUUUUCUUGUUAUAAAAGCAUAAUGUAUAAUUAUUUGUUUAUCCAAAAUAUGUGGUUUGUUAUCAUCAAACAACAUAGGAUAACAAUCUCUCCUUUUUUUGGUGAGGACAAAACACAUUAUAAAGAUUUGAUUUAGUUAUGAAAAACUCCCUCUUAAUCAAUGUAAGAUUAAAAAUUAAUUUGAAAAUGAUUUAAAAGACUCCCCCUGCAUAAAUGUAUAUAAAUAUUUUUUUAUAACAAAUAAAUUUUUUCCUUACAUAUUAUAUCUCUCCCUUCAUCAUCAAAAAUAGUAAAAAAGCUUCCCCUAUCAAUCAUCAAAAUCUCAAGACAAACACAUUAGUUUCACAUUAUCCAAAACAUAACCAAUAAUCAUAUCAAAUUCACAUAAUUCAAAAUAGAUACAUAAUCCAAAAAUAUAACAAACAUCCAUAUAAUCUAAAUGGAGAAUAAAAAAAGUAAAGCAGUAAAUGUUUGUGUGUCUAAAUAUAAGCAUAAGAGACUAUUGAGGUGCUAACGAAUAUGGAAUGCCAAAGUACUCAAAGAGGAGGUGUUGUUCAUGAAUGAGUUGCUGAUGCUGCUAUGAGAGGCGCUGGUGCUAUUCAAGAAUGUGCUGCUGAAAAUCGGUCUGCUGCACAGAAAGUGUCCUCAUCUCAUCCAUAAGCUGCUGAAGAGUAAUCUCGUCAGAGGCAGGAGGCUCUGGAGGUGGUAAAGCAUAUGCAAAGACAUCAGGAGCAAAGGUAGGCACAGAAAGUGUCAUCACCUCAUCCAUAAGUUGCUAAAGAGUAAUCUCGUCAGAUGCAGGAGGCUCUAGAGGUGGUACAACAUAUGCAAAGACAUCAGGAGCAGAGACAGACACUGGAGGGACUCGACGUCUACGCUGACCCCGAAAUGGAAGCGAAAAUAAGGAAGUUGAUCAGUAGGAACCACAUCGAGUGACCGAUCAUCAUUUGGAGCAAGAAAAAUGUACUUAUUGUCAGUGAAUUUUACUCAAGUUCCAUUACGCCACUCAAAUCCUAACGCACAUACAGUUUCAUCCUCGAUACUCUUAGAAGGUUUACAAGAUGGUUCAUUGAUAGGUAUUUUAAAAUGUCUAAGGAUCCGAGUGAUAAAAUGACCAUAUAGAAGAGAACGAGUAAUCAAUUUAGGUAUAGAAAGCAUGGUUCGGAUAAUGGUGUACCCUAAGUUAACGGGACGAUGUCUAAGGAUGGAAUUAAUCAAAACAACAUCCAUGUGAGAAACUUCAUCCAAAUGCCCCGACCUAGGAAGCACAAUGAUCUGAAUAAAAUGAAGAUCCGAGUUUGGAGACAUAGACAUUGAGUGCGGAAAUGGAUGUUACAAAUUUCAUCAGAAAUAUCAAUAUGCCGGCAUAUAUUUUUAACAGCGUCAACAUGAACAUAAUGACCAAUAUCGGGAGAUUUUCGAGUAGAAAAUAUUUUUAGGCCAAAAUCGGAGAUUCCUAGGAUAGAAUUUAAUUCUGAAACAUCAAAAUCAAUCAAAACUCCUCGGAAAUAUCCAUAUUCGAGUAAAAUACUUUCACCAAGUCGGGAUACACAUUCUCCUCAAUCACAAGAGCAUUAAUCCAAUCAACUUCUUUCAACAAUUGAAACAAAUUUCUAUUACUAAUACGGAGACUACAAAGCUAAUUCGGUAAAACAAAAAAUGUAGAGAGUACCUCGCAGGUCAUGAAAUUUUAGUGAAAUUGCUUGACUAAACGCUUGUUUGGAAAGUGCUUGGAUUCAAAGUUGGACUGAUUUGAAGUGUCUCAUGCCUGCCUGCCUGCCUGCUAUGGCCGUUUUGCUGGUUAAACAUGUUCUUUCCCUUUUUCUCUAAUCAGCCUUGAACUAUGCAUGAUAAUGUUAAGUGAUUUGAAGAUAAAUGAAGUAAUAAAAAAAAGAUAAUGAGGUAGAAAUAAGAUAUUGAUGUUCAAUUUAGGUGGAAGAUGACUUAAGAAGAAAUUUAAAGAGAGAAAGUUCGGUUGAAAACUUAGGUUAGAAAUAGGAUCUUGUAAGUUUGAUGAUGAAAAUGGAUUUUGAAGAUGAUUUUGAGCACAAGGAAUGGUGGGGAAUGAUUUUUGUGAUCAAUUUGGUGCAAAAGUGAAUAAAGAUGAUGAAUUUUAGAGUGAGAGUGAGAGAGGAAGGAAAUGGUUUUAGAGAGAGUGAGAAUCGGUUUGCCGAAUGGAUAGAAGAAGAUGAAUAGUUCUUAAAAAGCCCGAAUUCGGCUUAUCGGAUUGCACUAACCGGCUAACCAAUUUGUGUCUAGAAAGUGAAAAAUUGAAAACGGUUUACUGGUUUCCCUAUCCGACUGAUCGAUUAUUUCCCGUGAAUGCCAAAGGAAAAUCCGGCUUAUCGGUUUGCAAUAUUUGGCUGACCGAUUAUGAUCCAAUGAAUGCCAACACAAAUUCAACUUACCGUUUCAAAGAAACUGGCUGACCGGUACUGGUCCAGAGAGAAAAAUUAAGAAACGAUUUACCGAUUUUCCUAAUCGGCCAUCCGGAUUGUGGCCCGAGAGUAACCUUUAAGAAAACGAGCUAUGGAUUUUCUAUAUCCGGUUAUCCAUAUUUGGUCCAGUGAGUAAUAAUAAGAAAAACAACUUUUCGGUUGAUUAGAAGCGGCAUGUUGGUUUAUCCUUAGAAAUUAUUUUUGGAAAUCUUCAAAAUUAAAUUCAUGCUUGCAUGUCCUAGUCUUCUAUGUCAUAGCCAACCAUCACCAUAUAAUGUCGAAAAACAUUUAUCAUAAGUAGAUGCACAUUUUAUGUCAAUGAUAUAAACAUUACCAAAUCUUGCCAUCAUAUGCAUUUUUAAUAAUACAUUUAGAUUUAAGGUAAAUUGAACAUCAAUAACUCGUUUCUACCUCAUUAUCUUUUUUUUAUUACUUCAUUUAUCUUCAAAUCACUCAACAUUAUCAUGUAUAGUUCAAGGCCGGUUAAAGGAAAAAAGAAAAAACAUGUUUAACAAGUAAAACGGCCAUGGCAGGCAUGCAGGGGACACUUCAAAUCAGUCCAACUUUGAAUCCAAGCACUUUCCGAACAAGCACUUAGUCAAACGAUUUCACCAAAAUUUCAUGACUCGUGAGGUACUAUCUACAUUUUUUGUUUUACCAGAUUGGCUUCGUAGUCUCAGUAUUAGUAAUAGAAAUUUGUUUCAAUUGUUAGAAGAAGUUGGUUGGAUUAAUGCUCUUGUGAUUGAGGAGCAUGUGUAUCCCAACUUGGUGAAAGUAUUUCAUUCGAAUAUGGAUAUUUCUUAGGAAUUUUGAUGUUUUAGAAUUAAAUUCUAUUCUAGGAACUUCCGAUUUUGGUCUAAAAAUAUUUUCUGCUAGGAAAUCUCCCGAUAUUGGUCAUUAUGUUCAUGUUGACACCGUUAGAAAUAUAUGCCGGCGUAUUGAUCUUUCUGAUGAAAUUUAUAACAUCCAUUUCCGCACUCAAUGUCUAUGUCUCCAAAUUCGAAAUUUACUUUAUUUUAUUCAAACCAUUAUGCGUACUAGGUCAAGGCAUUUGGAUGAGGUUUCCCACAUGUAUGUUGCUUUGAUUGAUUCUAUCCUUAAACAUCGUCCCGUUAAUUUGGGUUACACUAUUAUCCGAACCAUGCUUUCUAUACCUAAAUUGAUUAUCCGUUCUCUUCCAUAUGGUCAUUUUAUUACAUGGAUCCUUAAACAUUUUUGGGUACCUAUCAAUGAACCAUCUUUUAAAGAUUCUAAGAGUAUUGGGGAUGAAGCUAUAUAUGCGUUAGGAUUUGAGUGGCGUAAUGGAGCUUGGGUGAAAUUCACUGACAAUAAGUACAUUUUUCUUGCUCUAAAUGAUGAUCGACCACUCAAUGAUGUGGUUCCUACUGAUCCACUUCCUGAUUUUUCGCUUUCAUUUCAGGGUCAGCGUAUACGUCGAGUCCCUCCAGUGUAUGCCUCUGACGAGAUUACUCUUCAACAGGUUAUAGAUGAGGUGAUGAUACUUUCUGUGCAGCAGAUCGAUUUUCAGUAGCACAUUCUUGAGGAGCACCAACGCCUCUCACAGCAGUAUCAACAGCUCAUUCAUGGACAGCACCUCCUCUUUGAGCACUUUGGCAUUCCAUAUCCGUUUCUACCUCAGUAGUCUCUUAUGCUUAUAUUUGGACACACCAACAUUUACUGUUUUAUGUUCUUUUAUUCUCC